GCUAGUGUAGCUUAAAUCAAAGCAUAACCUUGAAGACGUUAAGAUGAGCCCUAAAAAGCCCCACGAGCA
This 69-nucleotide transfer RNA is filed under the name Parachanna insignis. Its description in RNAcentral is "tRNA-Phe". It matches the Rfam family "tRNA". Rfam says of the family: Transfer RNA (tRNA) molecules are approximately 80 nucleotides in length. Their secondary structure includes four short double-helical elements and three loops (D, anti-codon, and T loops). The record is from RNAcentral. Lineage: Eukaryota; Metazoa; Chordata; Actinopteri; Anabantiformes; Channidae.